Molecule: ribosomal RNA, 405 nt
Filed under: bacterium
Lineage: Bacteria
Description: partial 16S ribosomal RNA
Rfam family: Bacterial small subunit ribosomal RNA
Source: RNAcentral
UAGGGAAUAUUGCACAAUGGGCGAAAGCCUGAUGCAGCAACGCCGCGUGUGCGAUGAAGGCCUUCGGGUCGUAAAGCACUUUUCUGGGAGAGGAGAAAGGACAGUAUCCCAGGAAUAAGUCUCGGCUAACUACGUGCCAGCAGCCGCGGUAAAACGUAGGAGGCGAGCGUUAUCCGGAUUCACUGGGUGUAAAGCGCGUGCAGGCGGUUCGGUAAGUUGGGCGUGAAAUCUCCUGGCUCAACUAGGAGAGGUCGUCCAAUACUACCGGGCUUGAGAGCGGUAUAGGAAGAUGGAAUUCCCGGUGUAGUGGUGAAGUGCGUAGAUAUCGGGAGGAACACCAGUGGCGAAGGCGAUCUUCUGGACCGUUUCUGACGCUCAGACGCGACAGCUAGGGUAGCAAACGGG